This 255-nucleotide ribosomal RNA is filed under the name uncultured bacterium. RNAcentral describes it as "partial 16S ribosomal RNA". It matches the Rfam family "Bacterial small subunit ribosomal RNA", at positions 524 to 778 of the family's 1533-position model. The record is from RNAcentral.
UACGUAGGUGACAAGCGUUGUCCGGAUUUACUGGGCGUAAAGAGCGCGCAGGCGGUCGAUCAAGUCGAGUGUGAAAGCCCCCGGCUCAACUGGGGAGGGUCAUUCGAUACUGAUCGACUCGAAGGCAGGAGAGGGUAGUGGAAUUCCCGGUGUAGUGGUGAAAUGCGUAGAUAUCGGGAGGAACACCAGUGGCGAAGGCGACUACCUGGCCUGUUCUUGACGCUGAGGCGCGAAAGCUAGGGGAGCAAACGGUGA